GUGGGGAAUUGUUCGCAAUGGGCGCAAGCCUGACGACGCAACGCCGCGUGGAGGAUGAAGAUUUUCGGAUCGUAAACUCCUUUCGAUCGAGACGAACGGGCUUCGGGCUAAUACCCUGAGGCAGUGACGGUACCGAGAGAAGAAGCCCCGGCUAACUCCGUGCCAGCAGCCGCGGUAAUACGGGGGGGGCAAGCGUUGUUCGGAAUUACUGGGCGUAAAGGGCUCGUAGGCGGCCAACUAAGUCAUACGUGAAAUCCCUCGGCUUAACCGGGGAACUGCGUCUGAUACUGGAUGGCUUGAGUUCGGGAGAGGGAUGCGGAAUUCCAGGUGUAGCGGUGAAAUGCGUAGAUAUCUGGAGGAACACCGGUGGCGAAGGCGGCAUCCUGGACCGAUACUGACGCUGAGGAGCGAAAGCCAGGGGAGCAAACGGGAUUAGAAACCCCAGUAGUCC
RNAcentral lists this ribosomal RNA (451 nucleotides) under uncultured Acidobacteriota bacterium. RNAcentral's name for it is "bacterial SSU rRNA". It matches the Rfam family "Bacterial small subunit ribosomal RNA", at positions 354 to 796 of the family's 1533-position model. The record is from RNAcentral. Lineage: Bacteria; Pseudomonadati; Acidobacteriota.